UAUCUCUGUAGAGUCUGCAUAUCAAUAAGCGGAGGAAAAGAAACUAACUAGGAUUCCCUUAGUAACGGCGAGUGAAGCGGGAAGAGCUCAAAUUUGAAAUCUUCAAGGUUCUACCUUGACGAAUUGUAGUUUAAAGAAGUGUUUUCUGUUGGAGUUUUGGUAAAAGUUCUUUGGAAUAGGACAUCAUAGAGGGUGAGAAUCCCGUAUUUGACCAUUUCUUCCAGCUGUGUGAUACACUUUCAAAGAGUCGGAUUGUUUGGGAAUGCAGUCCAAAAUGGGUGGUAAAUUUCAUCUAAAGCUAAAUAUUGGCGAGAGACCGAUAGCGAACAAGUACCGUGAGGGAAAGAUGAAAAGAACUUUGAAAAGAGAGUUAAACAGUACGUGAAAUUGUCAAAAGGGAAGCGUUUGACACCAGUGUUGUUUUCUCGAAAAUCAAUUAAAAAUGGCCGGAUUUUGUGUUGCUAUUGACUUUAUCAGCUUUCUGCACUUUUUUCUUGUCCUUUGUUAAUGCACUUUUCGUUUAACAAGUCAACAUCAAUUUCCUUUGUUGUAAAAGAGUCAUUGGAAGGUGGCUUUCACUUCGGUGAAAGUGUUUAUAGCCUUUGACUUCUGCAAUCGGAGAGAUUGAGGUCUGCAGCGUAGAUCCUUCGGGGUUAGAUACAUUUGUGCUAAGUUAUAGUUUUUCAUAGACAACAUGUUGACUAUGAUUAAUCAUGUAGCUUACUCGCUUAUGCUAUUUUACCUACGCUUAGGAUGUUGAACGCGCACAGAGUCUC
Molecule: ribosomal RNA, 776 nt
Filed under: uncultured Neocallimastigales
Lineage: Eukaryota; Fungi; Neocallimastigomycota; Neocallimastigomycetes; Neocallimastigales
Description: partial large subunit ribosomal RNA
Rfam family: Eukaryotic large subunit ribosomal RNA
Source: RNAcentral